CCCGGCACAAGCGGUGGAGCAUGUUGGUUUAAUUCGACGCAACGCGAAGAACCUUACCGUGGGCUUGACAUGUUAGUGGUAAGAACCUGAAGGGGAUGACCUGUAGCAAUACAGGAGCUAACACAGGUGCUGCAUGGCUGUCGUCAGCUCGUGCCGUGAGGUGUUGGGUUAAGUCCCGCAACGAGCGCAACCCUUAUCCUAUGUUACCUCGCAAGAGGGUCUCUUAGGAAACUGCCGGCGAUGAGCUGGAGGAAGGUGGGGACGACGUCAAGUCAUCAUGGCCCUUAUGUCCAGGGCUACACACGUGCUACAAUGGCUUCUACAGAGGGAUGCAAGACCGCGAGGUGGAGCCAAUCCUAAAAAGCCGGUCUCAGUUCGGAUUGCAGGCUGCAAUUCGCCUGCAUGAAGUCGGAAUCGCUAGUAAUCGCAGGUCAGCAUACUGCGGUGAAUACGUUCCCGGGCCUU
This 465-nucleotide ribosomal RNA is filed under the name uncultured Nitrospiraceae bacterium. Its description in RNAcentral is "bacterial SSU rRNA". It matches the Rfam family "Bacterial small subunit ribosomal RNA", at positions 920 to 1382 of the family's 1533-position model. Lineage: Bacteria; Pseudomonadati; Nitrospirota; Nitrospiria; Nitrospirales; Nitrospiraceae. The record is from RNAcentral.